CCUACGGGGAGCAGCAGUGGGGGAUAUUGGACAAUGGGGGGAACCCUGAUCCAGCGACGCCGCGUGCGUGAAGAAGUAUUUCGGUAUGUAAAGCUCUGUCAGCAGGGAAGAAAGAAAUGACGGUACCUGACCAAGAAGCCCCGGCUAACUACGUGCCAGCAGCCGCGGUAAUACGGAGGGGGCAAGCGUUAUCCGGAAUUACUGGGUGUAAAGGGAGCGUAGACGGUUAAGUAAGUCUGGAGUGAAAGGCCGGGGCCCAACCCCGGGACUGCUCUGGAAACUAUUGAACUUGAGUGCAGGAGAGGUAAGCGGAAUUCCUAGUGUAGCGGUGAAAUGCGUAGAUAUUAGGAGGAACACCAGUGGCGAAGGCGGCUUACUGGACUGUAACUGACGUUGAGGCUCGAAAGCGUGGGGAGCAAACAGGAUUAGAUACCCGAGUAGUC
This 443-nucleotide ribosomal RNA is filed under the name uncultured bacterium. RNAcentral describes it as "partial 16S ribosomal RNA". It matches the Rfam family "Bacterial small subunit ribosomal RNA", at positions 338 to 795 of the family's 1533-position model. The record is from RNAcentral.